Molecule: transfer RNA, 68 nt
Filed under: bovine gut metagenome
Rfam family: tRNA
About the family: Transfer RNA (tRNA) molecules are approximately 80 nucleotides in length.
Source: RNAcentral
GGGUAUAGUUCAGUUGGUAGAACGCAGGUCUCCAAAACCUGAUGUCGAGGGUUCAAGUCCUUCUGCCC